RNAcentral lists this ribosomal RNA (253 nucleotides) under uncultured bacterium. RNAcentral's name for it is "partial 16S ribosomal RNA". It matches the Rfam family "Bacterial small subunit ribosomal RNA", at positions 524 to 776 of the family's 1533-position model. The record is from RNAcentral.
UACAGAGGUCUCAAGCGUUGUUCGGAUUCAUUGGGCGUAAAGGGUGCGUAGGCGGCUUCUUAAGUCUGGUGUGAAAGCCCAGGGCUCAGCUCUGGAAGUGCACUAGAAACUGAGGAGCUUGAGUACCGGAGGGGAGAGUGGAAUUCCUGGUGUAGCGGUGAAAUGCGUAGAUAUCAGGAGGAAUACCGGUGGCGAAAGCGACUCUCUGGACGGUUACUGACGCUGAGGCACGAAAGCGUGGGGAGCAAACAGG